RNAcentral lists this transfer RNA (72 nucleotides) under Flavobacterium shii. Its description in RNAcentral is "tRNA-Glu". It matches the Rfam family "tRNA". Rfam says of the family: Transfer RNA (tRNA) molecules are approximately 80 nucleotides in length. Their secondary structure includes four short double-helical elements and three loops (D, anti-codon, and T loops). Further hydrogen bonds mediate the characteristic L-shaped molecular structure. tRNAs have two regions of fundamental functional importance: the anti-codon, which is responsible for specific mRNA codon recognition, and the 3' end, to which the tRNAs corresponding amino acid is attached (by aminoacyl-tRNA synthetases). tRNAs cope with the degeneracy of the genetic code in two manners: having more than one tRNA (with a specific anti-codon) for a particular amino acid; and 'wobble' base-pairing, i.e. permitting non-standard base-pairing at the 3rd anti-codon position. Lineage: Bacteria; Pseudomonadati; Bacteroidota; Flavobacteriia; Flavobacteriales; Flavobacteriaceae. The record is from RNAcentral.
GGUCCGUUCGUCUAGGGGUUAGGACUUCAGGAUUUCGUCCUGAUAACAGGGGUUCGAUUCCCUUACGGACUA